GCUGGUAUCUUGACAUCCAUCUGUAGCAUUUCACAGUACCACGUUGGUGCAUUGCAAACGAGUGGUUAAAUACAUAACUACGAUGAUGAAUUUAUAGGUCCGAAUAUCUUGUAUAUGAAGAGCAUGAGUGAACCUUUAGUUCAGCAAGUCUAUGAAAAUCCUGAACUCUUGGUCACAAGCUCUCAUCUGUUCAUGUGCAUGACUGCUGAAGGCAAGUGUUGUCCACGGAACUGGAUACAUUCUUCUUGCCUAUUUGCUUUUCAUGUAUUUUGACAUUUGUUCCUGGGUAUAAUGGCCACUGUAUUUCUGAAAUAUGAAAUUAACACCUUAUACAUCCAACGCAAAGUCAAUGCGCAUCCUGGUUCUAAUUUUGCGCCAACAAAAUGGACUUCAUGACAAGCACUCAAGCAGUGUGAGGAUCUAUUGCCCUCUGUUUGUUUCCUGCGCCAACAGAAUCGGAAUAGAGUUUCUAUGUGCUCUGAACGACUUCAGGGUCCAUCAGCCAAAUUUACAUUCUAAGAUUCAACUCUUAUGUCUUAUCAUCUUUGGGUGCCAAGACAGUGAUCUUAAAUUGUUUGGUUGCUCUGUAGAUACGGUGUUCAGUGGUCUGCAUCCCGCACUGUAAAUUCAUACGUACGUAAUGUAGUCCUAUGAACAUCCUGCAGAGGAAGCAAUCUUCUUAGUUCUUUCAUAUGUACGUAAAUUUACUUUUUUGUUUCAGAUGAACAUUGGAGAUGCUACUGCCCCGGACUGUAUGCUGGAUACAGAUAGUGUUGCAGCUAAACAGUCGUUUCGAGUUGAAACUUGAAAGUUAACCUUAGAACUGGCACAAGGAAUCCUAAACGCAUUAGCCAUUGACCGAGAGGACAUUUUUUACCCUUCCCGGUGACCUCCUGACACUUGCCAAUUAACGAUGAAAGAGGGGCCGUUUGUGGCCAACAUCAUAGUACACGUUUAGUGUUAUUUUUUACAAGUAGACGUGAGCUAGUUUGCUAAGUUUUGCAGGAUAAGCGGGCGACAUGUGAGCCUAUGCACGGUGGUAGAGAAGGGUGUCUUCUGUUCUAACUCGAACUCCGCAGCAAAGAUUAAGAUAACCAUUUUUCCGCGAGCUGUUCAAGAAUCAGUGUGAGUGAGUGAUGAUGCAGAAUCAAAAGGACUCACGACACGAAAUCAAAAUGAGGUAUUAUUUUUUGUGCUUUUGCACACUUCAUGCUUCAGCAGCCAAAAAGUACAGUCUAAAAUUCUGCUCUGAUCAUCUUUGGGUACUGAGACAUUGAUCUUAAAUUAUUCCACUACAGGCAAUCCUUUGUCUCUAAGUAUUUUACUGCCAGCAAUCCUUCGUCUCUAAGUAUUCCAUUGCAGGCAAUCCUUUGUCUGUGAAAAUGGUGCUCAAUGACUUGCAAUUUAUCUUGCACCAUGAAAUCUUAAGCAGUGAAAAUCAAAGUUGAACUAGACUUCCUGAGUUAAUGAAUUUCAGUUUCCUAUGCACCCAGAGAGAAAGCAUGUUUGCUGGUCUGAGUAAAUCAUAUACGAUAUGGUUAGAAUAUUUUAGACGAACAUUGGAUAAGCAAAACACUGGUAGUUCCCUUCAGCUGGCUUUCUUUUUGAGAAUUUUUAUUAUGCAAAAAUAUAUACCUGUAGUACAGGGGAUUUAUACAACAUAUUUGCUGCCAGUCCAAACUCUGAAGGCCAAUUGAGACAACAUCAUCAUCUUUUCGGCCAGCUAAAAAUGCCUUCUCUAAUUUUCCCUUAAAUCUAUUGUAUUUAUCUAAGCUUUUCAUUUGCAAACUGAGUAACAGACAUAUCGACCGAUGAAUAUGCACUUUUAUCAAAUCAAUGAAUGGAUCACUGCCAUUUUGGAGGAAACUCAUGAUAGCAAACUUGUCUUUCUGCAUUGUGAAUUCAUGCAAUCUGAACAGAGUAUCUGCAUACAUGUCUUAAGCUGGUAUCUUACAUCCAUCUGUAGCAUUUGACAAUACCAUGUUGGCGCAUUGCAAACACGCGGUUAAAUACAUAACUAUAACGGCGAAUUUCCUGGACCGUAUUUCUCGUAUAUGAUGAGCAUGAGUUGAACUCUAGUUCAGCGAAAUCUUGAGCUCUUGGCUCUAAGUUCUGAUUUGCUCCUCUUGCCUAUUUGCUUUUCAGUUAAUGGGCAUUUUGUCCUGGGUAUAAAGGUCGACACAUUUCUGAAAUAUGCAACUGGCAUCUUAUGCAUGCUGACACAGGUUCAAUGUGCACCCAGGUUCUAAUUUUGUGCCAACAAGAUGGACUUCAUAACAAGCACCGAUAAGCGGGCGACGUGUGAGCCUAGGCAUGGCCCGGAAAGCACGGUCAAGGUCCACUUGUGCCUCUCCGACGGCAUGCAUCACGACGGUGGUAAAGAAGAGAAGGGUCUCUUCUAACACUGAUCCCGCAACCGAGGUAAAGAUAACCAUUUUUCCGCGAGCUGUUCAAGAACCACAGUGCGAGUAACGAUGCAGAAUCAAAAUUACUCGUGACACGAAAUCAAAAUGUGUUACGGUAUUAUUUCUGUACUUCCACACACAUCGCACAUGGUUGGUUGUAUCCUUGAGGGCAUGGUACAUCUAUCUUCAGGCUUCAUCAGCCAAAAAGUAUAGUCUAAAAUUCUGCUCUGUUCAUAUUUGGGUGAUGAGUCAUUGAUCUUAAAUUAUUCCACUGCAGGCAAUCCUUUAUCCCUAAGUAUUCCCCUGGAUGCAAUACUUCGUCUCUUAAGUAUUCCAUUGCAGGCAAUACUUCGUCCGUAAGUAUGGUGCUAAAACAGUCAUCCUCCAUGAUUCAACCCUUAUCAAGUUAUCAUCUUUGUGUUCAUUGGAUUCUAUCAACAUCCUGCAGAGGAAAUAAUCGCUGCCUCUGAGUUUCUUGCAGACACGAUGUGCUUGCAUCUGCACGUGUCUUGGAUCAACACUGGAGUGGAGAUGCUACCACCCCGGACUGUACGUCGGGUACAGUAAUGCAGCGAAACGGAAAUUAACCUUGGAACUGGCGCAAGGAAUCCUAUGUUGACGCCUUUCAGCCUUUGCCAUUUGUUGAGACGGCAUUCUUGGCCAACAUCAUGGUACAUGUUUAGUGUUAAUCAACGGUGAUAACGGGGUGAGCCUAAUUCGUCUUUUUUGAUCGAAGUUGUUCGUAUAGACGGACAUACACUCACCUAUGUGAGCACACGCACGUACAUAUACACUAUUCCUGAGUUUAAUCAAAGUUGCCACAGACGCCUUCAUGAUCGACGGAAACGGAAACGUCUUUUCCCUGAAGGCACAUCGUCGGAAGGCCUACAAUAAAUUCAGAAAAAUAUAAACAUCAAUGUAAAUGUUGGACUUGAACUCUGGUGGGCAAGAAAUAUUAAUCUUUUUAACCACCCAA
Long non-coding RNA from Hordeum vulgare subsp. vulgare (domesticated barley), 3381 nucleotides. RefSeq lists it as uncharacterized. Lineage: Eukaryota; Viridiplantae; Streptophyta; Magnoliopsida; Poales; Poaceae. The record is from RefSeq and is a predicted model, not a curated record. The transcript is spliced from 2 exons.